Molecule: long non-coding RNA, 360 nt
Organism: Mauremys mutica (yellowpond turtle)
Lineage: Eukaryota; Metazoa; Chordata; Testudines; Geoemydidae
Exons: 4
Source: RefSeq, a predicted model, not a curated record
GAUUUUCCAAAAAUAAUUUACCUUUGGACAGAGACAAAGCCUGGAAAGAUUCAGCUCAAAACGUGUAUGUUGGAGGCUAAUAGGGGAAGAUCGUGUAUUGUUUUUAAAUCAGAUGGCAGCAAUAACUCAAGCUUCCUUGCACUGCUCUGCUGUUAUUCCUCAGCCCUGAAGAAACCACCUCUAAAGAUUGAGAAGAACCACUGUAGCCAGACUGACCCAUCUGUUCCUUGGAGCUUGUCUAUAAAAAGGAGAGAGAAACGUCCCUUAGAAUUUUACCUCAGAUUUGUAUGUGUUCCAGUUUGACAUCUUCCUGACAUUGCUGAUCUGUUCAACAGACUUGCAUCUGAGAGACACCAUCAG